CCUACGGGAGGCAGCAGUGAGGAAUAUUGGUCAAUGGACGAGAGUCUGAACCAGCCAAGUAGCGUGAAGGAUGACUGCCCUAUGGGUUGUAAACUUCUUUUAUAUGGGAAUAAAACGUUCCACGUGUGGGAUUUUGUAUGUACCAUAUGAAUAAGGAUCGGCUAACUCCGUGCCAGCAGCCGCGGUAAUACGGAGGAUCCGAGCGUUAUCCGGAUUUAUUGGGUUUAAAGGGAGCGUAGGUGGUUUGUUAAGUCAGUUGUGAAAGUUUGCGGCUCAACCGUAAAAUUGCAGUUGAAACUGGCAGUCUUGAGUACAGUAGAGGUGGGCGGAAUUCGUGGUGUAGCGGUGAAAUGCUUAGAUAUCACGAAGAACUCCGAUUGCGAAGGCAGUUCACUGGACUGUAACUGACACUGAGGCUCGAAAGUGUGGGUAUCAAACAGGAUUAGAUACCCUGGUAGUC
Molecule: ribosomal RNA, 460 nt
Filed under: uncultured bacterium
Lineage: Bacteria
Description: partial 16S ribosomal RNA
Rfam family: Bacterial small subunit ribosomal RNA
Source: RNAcentral